RNAcentral lists this ribosomal RNA (253 nucleotides) under uncultured bacterium. Its description in RNAcentral is "partial 16S ribosomal RNA". It matches the Rfam family "Bacterial small subunit ribosomal RNA", at positions 524 to 776 of the family's 1533-position model. The record is from RNAcentral.
GACAGAGGGUGCAAACGUUGUUCGGAAUUACUGGGCGUAAAGCGUGCGCAGGCGGUUAUGUAAGACAGGUGUGAAAUCCCCGGGCUUAACCUGGGAACUGCGUCUGAUACUGGAUGGCUUGAAUCCGGGAGAGGGAUGCAGAAUUCCAGGUGUAGCGGUGAAAUGCGUAGAUAUCUGGAGGAAUACCGGUGGCGAAGGCGGCAUCCUGGACCGGCAUUGACGCUGAGGAGCGAAAGCCAGGGGAGCAAACGGG